RNAcentral lists this ribosomal RNA (429 nucleotides) under Bacteroidota bacterium. RNAcentral describes it as "Bacteroidetes bacterium partial 16S ribosomal RNA". It matches the Rfam family "Bacterial small subunit ribosomal RNA", at positions 355 to 776 of the family's 1533-position model. Lineage: Bacteria; Pseudomonadati; Bacteroidota. The record is from RNAcentral.
UAGGGAAUCUUCGGCAAUGGGGGGAACCCUGACCGAGCAACGCCGCGGGAGUGAAGAAGGUUUUCGGAUCGUAAAGCUCUGUUGUUAAGGAAGAACGAGUGUGAGAAUGGAAAGUUCAUGCUGUGACGGUACUUAACCAGAAAGGGACGGCUAACUACGUGCCAGCAGCCGCGGUAAUACGUAGGUCCCGAGCGUUGUCCGGAUUUAUUGGGCGUAAAGCGAGCGCAGGCGGUUAGAAAAGUCUGAAGUGAAAGGCAGUGGCUCAACCAUUGUAGGCUUUAAGAACUGUUUAACUUGAGUGCAGAAGGGGAGGGUGGAAUUCCAUGUGUGGCGGUGAAAUGCGUAGAUAUAUGGAGGAACACCGGUGGCGAAAGCGGCUCUCUGGUCUGUAACUGACGCUGAGGCUCGAAAGCGUGGGGAGCGAACAGG